Molecule: ribosomal RNA, 465 nt
Filed under: uncultured Klebsiella sp.
Lineage: Bacteria; Pseudomonadati; Pseudomonadota; Gammaproteobacteria; Enterobacterales; Enterobacteriaceae
Description: bacterial SSU rRNA
Rfam family: Bacterial small subunit ribosomal RNA
Source: RNAcentral
CCUACGGGGGGCUGCAGUGGGGAAUAUUGCACAAUGGGCGCAAGCCUGAUGCAGCCAUGCCGCGUGUGUGAAGAAGGCCUUCGGGUUGUAAAGCACUUUCAGCGGGGAGGAAGGCGUUAAGGUUAAUAACCUUGGCGAUUGACGUUACCCGCACAAGAAGCCCCGGCUAACUCCGUGCCAGCAGCCGCGGUAAUACGGAGGGUGCAAGCGUUAAUCGGAAUUACUGGGCGUAAAGCGCACGCAGGCGGUCUGUCAAGUCGGAUGUGAAAUCCCCGGGCUCAACCUGGGAACUGCAUUCGAAACUGGCAGGCUAGAGUCUUGUAGAGGGGGGUAGAAUUCCAGGUGUAGCGGUGAAAUGCGUAGAGAUCUGGAGGAAUACCGGUGGCGAAGGCGGCCCCCUGGACAAAGACUGACGCUCAGGUGCGAAAGCGUGGGGAGCAAACAGGAUUAGAUACCCGGGUAGUC